Bos taurus (domestic cattle) is the source of this 709-nucleotide long non-coding RNA. The record is from Ensembl. Lineage: Eukaryota; Metazoa; Chordata; Mammalia; Artiodactyla; Bovidae.
AGAAGGACAAGAUGGCACUGCAUCGGCCUUUGAAAGAACUGGAGUUAACUACGUAGGAAAGCAAGAAGGGCAUUUAUGGCAGAGGAAUCAGUAUGAAUUCAGGAUCGGAUAUUCAGCCUCCUUUUAUUCACAGCGCUGAGCCUGACAGCACAAUGCACAUAACCCACAAGAGGCCCUAGUAUGCAGAUGAGGAUGUGACAGUGAUUUUGGAGUUGCCUUCAACUUUGGGGGAACAGAAGAAACUGAAACACAAAACAAACUUAGAGAAGCUGAAAGAAGCUAAAGUAUUUAAAAACAUAUUAAAUGGGAAUCACUUCUUACCUUGAAAUGUUCUCAAAUGUCAUAGCACAAGAGAACCGCGGUGGCAUUGUGAAUAUAAGACCAAAAGAAGAUGGCAGCAACAGACCAUGGAACACGUCUGUACUGUUUUCCAGUCUCCACGGCCACCACCUGCCUCCACAGGCACCACCUAAGGAUUCUCAGAGCUGCAGGAAUGAGAGUUUUUUCAACUUUUAUCCUCAUGGUGACUCCCCAUGCAGUUUCUUGAGGGCUGUGGUAAACCAUUUCUCUGUAAUAAAAAUACCCAUGAUACUCUUUUCUCUACUGCCUCUUUGAAAUGUAAGAUGGCAGUAUUUAAAAAAAAAAGAUGGCAGUAUUAAAAUUGCUUAUAUUGAAUGUACUGUCAUUUCCAAAAUUCUUCACAUGGUCA